RNAcentral lists this unclassified non-coding RNA (221 nucleotides) under soil metagenome. RNAcentral's name for it is "partial contains 5.8S ribosomal RNA, internal transcribed spacer 2, and large subunit ribosomal RNA". The record is from RNAcentral.
AACCUUAUGGACCUGCGGGCGUAUACCUGCGGAGGGAUCAUUACAGAGUUCAUGCCCUCACGGGUAGAUCUCCCACCCUUGAAUACUAUACCUUUGUUGCUUUGGCGGGCCGCUUUGGCUACUGGCUCUGGCUAGUAAGUGCCCGCCAAAGAACCCCAAAACUCUGAAUAUUAGUGUCGUCUGAGUACUAUAUAAUAGUUAAAACUUUCAACAAUGGAUCU